This 188-nucleotide ribosomal RNA is filed under the name Escherichia coli. Its description in RNAcentral is "partial 23S ribosomal RNA". It matches the Rfam family "Bacterial large subunit ribosomal RNA", at positions 1 to 189 of the family's 2925-position model. The record is from RNAcentral. Lineage: Bacteria; Pseudomonadati; Pseudomonadota; Gammaproteobacteria; Enterobacterales; Enterobacteriaceae.
GGUUAAGCGACUAAGCGUACACGGUGGAUGCCCUGGCAGUCAGAGGCGAUGAAGGACGUGCUAAUCUCCGCUAACCGCCGGUGGGGUAAUUGAACCCGUAUAAACGGCCUUUUUCCAAUUGGGGAACCCAAGGGCGUUUCAAAAAACUAUCUUAACCUGAAUCAAUAGGUUAAUGAGGCGAACCGGGG